Pteropus alecto (black flying fox) is the source of this 74-nucleotide non-coding RNA. The record is from Rfam. NCBI's taxonomy places the organism in Eukaryota, Metazoa, Chordata, Mammalia, Chiroptera, Pteropodidae.
GGCUCCGUAGUGUAGUGGUUAGCACCUCUGCUUUGCACAUGGAAGGUCCUAGGUUCACCCCCCAGGUGGAGCCA